UACAGAGGGGGCAAGCGUUGUUCGGAAUUACUGGGCGUAAAGGGCGCGUAGGCGGCCUUCUAAGUCGAACGUGAAAUCCCCGGGCUCAACCCGGGAACUGCGUCCGAUACUGGAAGGCUUGAAUCCGGGAGAGGGAUGCGGAAUUCCAGGUGGAGCGGUGAAAUGCGUAGAGAUCUGGAAGAACACCAAAGGCGAAGGCAGCGUUCUGGCUCGUAACUGACGCUCAUGUGCGAAAGCCAGGGGAGCGAACGGG
Molecule: ribosomal RNA, 253 nt
Filed under: uncultured bacterium
Lineage: Bacteria
Description: partial 16S ribosomal RNA
Rfam family: Bacterial small subunit ribosomal RNA
Source: RNAcentral